Long non-coding RNA from Pangasianodon hypophthalmus (striped catfish), 1526 nucleotides. RefSeq lists it as uncharacterized. Lineage: Eukaryota; Metazoa; Chordata; Actinopteri; Siluriformes; Pangasiidae. The transcript is spliced from 2 exons. The record is from RefSeq and is a predicted model, not a curated record.
AAAGAGUGAAAACACGGAUGCUAGACUUUCAGCAUGGAUUAGGUGAUCUUGAAAGUCGGGCUGAAUAGGCUGACACUGCACAUAUUCUGGUGAAAAAUAGGAAGUGUACGUGUUGUGUGUGUGUAUUUAUAUAUGUGUAUAUAUACACACACACACACACACACACACACACACUAUAUGGCCAAAAACUGUUGCUACAAAUUUGGAAGCACACAAUUGUAUAGACUGUCUUUGUAUGCUUUUAGCAGUACAAUUUCCCUUCACUGGAACUAAGAGGCCCAAACCUGUUCCAGCAUGACAAUGCCCCUGUGCACAAAGCGAGCUCCAUGAAGACAUGGUGUAUGAAGGUUGGAGUGGAAGAACUCGAGUGUCCUGCACAGAGCCCUGACCUCAACCCCACUGAACACCUUUGGGAUGAACUGGAACACCGACUGCACCCCAGACCUCCUCACCAACAUCAGUGCCUGAUCUCACUAAUGCUCUUGUAGCUGAAUGAACACAAAUCCCCACAGCCAUGCUCCAACAUCUAGUGGAAAGCCUUCCCAGAAGAGUGGAGACUGUUCUAGCCGCAAAGGGGGAAUAAAUCUAGAAUGGGAUGUUCAACAAGCAGCACAUAUGAGUGUGAUUGGUUAGGUGUCCACAAAUUUUUGGCCAUAUAGAGUGUUUGUAUAUACACUGAACAGCCACUUUAAUAGGAACACCUGUACAUCUGCUGGUAAAUGCAAUUAUUUAAUCAGCCAAUCAGAUGGCAGCAGUGCAAUGAAUUAAAAUCAUACAGAUUCACGUCAAGAAAUUCAGUUAAUGUUCAAAGAAUCAUCAGAAAGGGGGAAAAAAGUUGGUCUCAGUGAUUUUGACCAUAACAUGGUGGUUGGUGCCAGACGGGCUGGAUUGAGUAUUUCAGAAACUGUUGAUCUCAACCACAACAGUGUCUAGAGUUUGCACAGAAUGCUGUGAAGAACAAAACCAAAACCAUCCAAUAGUUGUUUUCUACAGCCAGGAAUGCACUUUACUGGUUCCAACUUACAAGAAGGAUACGAUAGCCUUCAACAAUGCCUUUGACAAAAGAAGAACAUAUUGAAAUCAUUCUCAUAGAUGGAUCGGGAACCUGUUGCAAUGGACUUUAACAGGAAACAUGGCAAGCACAUCGCACACAACACUGUUGCCAAACUUAAUAACAAAUUCAAAAAGACUGGAAGUGUUGCAGACCAACUGAGAAGUGGACGUCCACCAACAUUCACUGACGUCAUUGCAAACAUUGUCUCCUAUGUGUGGAGACUGUGUGUGUAUUUCUAUGACUUCCUAACCAGUUACCUGGACAAUAAUUCCUCUGAUAAGGACUACAUGGAAAUCUCCUUCACAGUGUCAACAACCAAAUCCUCAGAAGACAAAAGUGAAUCAUUUACCUCAAAUACAGAUCUAUUUCCAGCUAUUUCCAGAGUGCUUUAGUUCUAUAUCUGAAUUCAUGAUUACUGUUGCCUACCAGUUAGUUAUUUUUUCUGUUGGACAACAAUAAAAACCUGAUUGCA